GACGAACGCUGGUGGCGUGCUUAACACAUGCAAGUCGAACGGAAAGGCCCUGCUUUUGUGGGGUGCUCGAGUGGCGAACGGGUGAGUAACACGUGAGUAACCUGCCCUUGACUUUGGGAUAACUUCAGGAAACUGGGGCUAAUACCGGAUAGGAGCUCCUGCUGCAUGGUGGGGGUUGGAAAGUUUCGGCGGUUGGGGAUGGACUCGCGGCUUAUCAGCUUGUUGGUGGGGUAGUGGCUUACCAAGGCUUUGACGGGUAGCCGGCCUGAGAGGGUGACCGGCCACAUUGGGACUGAGAUACGGCCCAGACUCCCACGGGAGGCAGCAGUGGGGAAUAUUGCACAAUGGGCGGAAGCCUGAUGCAGCAACGCCGCGUGCGGGAUGACGGCCUUCGGGUUGUAAACCGCUUUCGCCUGUGACGAAGCGUGAGUGACGGUAAUGGGUAAAGAAGCACCGGCUAACUACGUGCCAGCAGCCGCGGUGAUACGUAGGGUGCGAGCGUUGUCCGGAUUUAUUGGGCGUAAAGGGCUCGUAGGUGGUUGAUCGCGUCGGAAGUGUAAUCUUGGGGCUUAACCCUGAGCGUGCUUUCGAUACGGGUUGACUUGAGGAAGGUAGGGGAGAAUGGAAUUCCUGGUGGAGCGGUGGAAUGCGCAGAUAUCAGGAGGAACACCAGUGGCGAAGGCGGUUCUCUGGGCCUUUCCUGACGCUGAGGAGCGAAAGCGUGGGGAGCGAACAGGCUUAGAUACCCUGGUAGUCCACGCUGUAAACGGUGGGUACUAGGUGUGGGGUCCAUUCCACGGGUUCCGUGCCGUAGCUAACGCUUUAAGUACCCCGCCUGGGGAGUACGGCCGCAAGGCUAAAACUCAAAGGAAUUGACGGGGCCCCGCACAAGCGGCGGAGCAUGCGGAUUAAUUCGAUGCAACGCGUAGAACCUUACCUGGGUUUGACAUGGAUCGGGAGUGCUCAGAGAUGGGUGUGCCUCUUUUGGGGUCGGUUCACAGGUGGUGCAUGGCUGUCGUCAGCUCGUGUCGUGAGAUGUUGGGUUAAGUCCCGCAACGAGCGCAACCCUUGUUCACUGUUGCCAGCACGUUAUGGUGGGGACUCAGUGGAGACCGCCGGGGUCAACUCGGAGGAAGGUGGGGAUGACGUCAAGUCAUCAUGCCCCUUAUGUCCAGGGCUUCACGCAUGCUACAAUGGCUGGUACAGAGAGUGGCGAGCCUGUGAGGGUGAGCGAAUCUCGGAAAGCCGGUCUCAGUUCGGAUUGGGGUCUGCAACUCGACCUCAUGAAGUCGGAGUCGCUAGUAAUCGCAGAUCAGCAACGCUGCGGUGAAUACGUUCCCGGG
This 1343-nucleotide ribosomal RNA is filed under the name uncultured bacterium. RNAcentral describes it as "16S ribosomal RNA". It matches the Rfam family "Bacterial small subunit ribosomal RNA", at positions 28 to 1378 of the family's 1533-position model. The record is from RNAcentral.